Molecule: long non-coding RNA, 5499 nt
Organism: Zea mays
Lineage: Eukaryota; Viridiplantae; Streptophyta; Magnoliopsida; Poales; Poaceae
Exons: 8
Source: RefSeq, a predicted model, not a curated record
AGAUCGAAGCUCCGAGCAGGAAACGCCACCGCCCUCCAUCUCCCCCGUGUCCCUAGCCAGGAGCACCGUCCCCCUCACCACCCCGCCUAACUUUCCUAUCCUCAUCCCGACGCCUGGAGAUCCAUCCUCAAACGCCGCUGCUAGGGCACCGUCCCGCGCUAGGACCCCCCGCGCCUCGCAAUCAUGUCACCGGCAACUCUGACGACCUAGGGCUCACAGGCAAGUACCGCUUCUCAUGUCCGCCUUCUGCUUCCCCUCGCGUUCGCCGCCGGCAUGAAUCCCUGCUUCGGGCCUUCUAGAGGCUAGCACCACGAUGGCCGACCCGGGCGCCUCCGUCAACAUCGCUGCGCGCCACCACCUCGCGUCGCAGCUCGCGAGGCAGCCGCCAGUGACGCACACGGGCUGGUGGGGAGGGGCGCGUUCGUACCACCAUGGGAGGGGCGUGGGGCGUGGCAUCAAGGGUGAGGGAGGGGCGUCGAGGAGGCGGACGGCAACAAGCCCACACAUCCAACACCCUACCAGGUCUUUGAUGCUGCUGCUUCACCAAACAAUGAAAUGCUCUUGAUGCAUGAUUCAGGAGCUAGGAGGAUAUCUAUUGUCGUCGAGUUACAUGAAGUUGACUUUCCUCUGCUGCUGUUGUGCUCAGUGUGGAUGACAUUGUGCUGCCUCAGGUACAACUUUCCUUUUCUGUGCUUAAGUAAAAAAAUGUUGUUCCAUUCGAUACACAGUCGGAUUAUUUGAUUUAAAGCCUUGCUGAAGUUGACAUUGUGAUAUAUCGUGACCCUGGUAAAAAAUAUUUUCAAGUUCAGAAAGCAGGAUACUUCCUUUAAUAUGUCUAUCACACAUGUUCACGGAGAUAAUUCUACACAUGGUUUUUUAUACCUCUUUUUGACCCCACUUGGAGAUGGAAGCGAGAUUUUGAAGUUUUAAGGCCUGCAGUGCCGUGGUCUUGCGUUGAUAUCUGUAGUUGUACAUAGAAAUUUUCUCAUUUGGUGUAUGUCUUUGCUACUUUUUCCUUAAACAUAAAUUAUAUUUUUAUAACUAUCUGGCAGUUAUUGAUCUAUCACUGCCUUACUACAUGAUACCUAUCUGGCAGUUAUGAAAAUAUUCGAAUCCAUUUUAUAUGUAAAUCCUAAAAUUUUCGAAUCCAAAGCCACCCAUUACAAUAUUAUGUACUGAAAUUAUAUCUUUUACUUAUGUGUCACUCUGCAUUUUUUUAAGAUUUAAAAAAAUUUCUUCCUUAUUUUAUACAUGGUUGAACACCAACCUUCAUGAUUCACUGGAUCUUCUUAGUAUUAUCUCUAACAAAAGAAUUUAUAAAGUUCUUUCCCCACAAAUGCAAAUAUAGGUAUUAGCUUAUUGAUUUUAAAUUGGUUAUUAAAUGUCUGGCAUGGAUCUCCUCCCUGCUCACGGGCCUCACCAUCCUCAAUGGCGAGUGUAAAACUUCGCACCAACACACUCGACAAGCUUGAUGGCGACCCCUACGUCAACAUCCGCAUGGGCAAGGUCAUGUAAUUUUUAUCUUCAUUUCAAUAGUGAUUGAAGCAAAUGAAAAUUUUAAAAUUUUGGCAGUGAGUAUGCAACACUUCCAAGCAAUGGAUAAUGUAUUAAUGUGGGGCUGUGGGCGUUGGAACGUGCGUGUUGACUAGCUUUGAUUAGCUUGUCGAUAUACAUACUUAGCCAUCUAUUUUUUCUUCUCCUUUCAAAUGCUAUGCUAUUGCUACUGCUGUUGGAGUGUACCAUUUAACUUGAUAUAUGAUUUAAUAGAUGCUUUGUGUGCAUAAAUCGUCUACAGUUACCAUCUGGACUUUUUUAGCCAUGUUUGAGAGAUGUGACGGAGUUUGGAUUUCACUUAAAAAUGCAGGUCCAGUUGAUGUUUAAUGUGCCUGAACUGCAGUUACAGUCAUAAAGCUCAAACAAUCUUGAGCAUUUGGUUUUACAUUAUAUUCUCUGGUUUCUGUUUUUGUGAUUUGUGUUCUGAUGAUGCAAACGCUUCCAUUUUUUAUGUUGCUCCUGCACAAGAUUUCCUGCACAACCAACUGUUUUUUGAAUUCUUUAUGUUAUUUGAUCCAGGGAGUGGACACAAUCAGGCUCUUGCGCAAGUAUCCCCUGAAUUUACUACCUGUAGUUUCGAAAUGGGCUUACCCAAAAAAAUAUUUGCACUAAGAAUAUUUAUGUUUGUUUAGUUGGUCUGGACAAACCACAAGAUCAGUUUAAGCAUUGCUUCCAAAUGCCAUUAAAUAUUUAUCUUGACUGAAAAUUCGCACACAAGAAUAGUAAUAUUCUAUGACCAAGUGACUGUAGUAUGAAGAAGCAUGUGUCAUUUUCCUGAUUAAUUUAGCUGGUUCAACUUUGUUGGGGUCCCAAGUCUUGGCCAGAACUUGAUGUAAUUAAACUCCUUUAGACAAUUGAGUACCUUUCUAUGUGGAUUUACAUAUCCCUUUGCUUAUUUAGUAACUUCUGCAAAAUUUGAAUCCUAGGCAAUGUCAACCUCAACACCUUGAUGAACAUGUUCAGUGUGCUUGGUGCUGGUGGUGGCCUUGGUGGUCGAAAUGCUUCUAAUGGUCCCUUUAUGUGGCACACAUGAAUACCUACAACUCCAUAAUGUUGCUGAAUGAUUAAUUAUGGAAUGUGGACAAUGCAAGAUACAUUUUGAGUACCCUUUUGAUCUAGGCUCUGGACCGCCAUGCUUGCGUCGGACGCGGGACGUCCACGCCGCCAUCGCCCGUGAGCAGCUCCGACAGCCUCAUCGCCGCGUUGCACCUGCUCUUGUGUCGCAGGCUCGGGUUACCGUCGGUGCUGACACCGAGGAAGGCAUGAUCCAUGCGGAGCAGCCCAAGGCGCGAUGCCACCUCCGCUGUCACGCAUGAUGAGCUGCUUCGCCUCUGGCACCGCCUUGUUCCUUCGCGAUCUCACAUUGGACGGUGGAUGAACUUGGGCUUCCAAGAUCCGUAAUACAAGGUAAAUUGAGUACCUUUUGUGACCUCUUCUGUAUUUCUAGGCCUUUGUAUAACAGCUGUGGACAAAACCUGUAAACAUGUUGGAUGAACUGGAGCAGCUAUUGAAAGGUAACUCUAUGGUGAAAGAGCUAACGCCUAGGACAAAUGACUACCUUGUUUCAUUUCGAGAAUGUAUGUCCACCAGGAUUUUAUCUGUUAAUUUGAACAAAAUUCAUAUCAAAGCACGACAGGUACUUCUUGAUAUUUCCUUGAUUUGCACAGUGAUUGAGUGAGCUUUUAAGGGUACGAAUGUAGCAGCCUAGAAUAAUUCUAUAUUUACUUACUACUAUAAAGAGCGGGAGCAAAAUAUAGCUAUACAAUUGAUGUAUAUUUAGCAUAUCAAACAAUGCUCAAGAUACUUAAUUAAUUGCAUACUAUAGUUAGGCUGUAUAUACCAAUGCAAUGGUCACUAGCAAGAUAAUGCAGCCUCACAGUCUUAUGACAUCAGCCAAUAUAUAAAUUAGACCAUUUUUGUUGCUGCAACUGCAACUAAUACUAUGUUGAAGUGUUUUUCGUUAACUCUGCUCUGAAAAUGCUUUUUGCUUCACUCUUUGACAUAUCUAUAUGACUAUAUAGCCGAUGCCUGUUUUUACUAUAUGCUUAUCAUGAAUCUCAUGUUUUCCAUAUGAAUAAUGCUAGCUGUUGCAACAUCUUUGUUUGGAGCUAAUGAUACAUUUAAUCCUAGACUUGAUGGCAAAGAACGGGUGCAAUUUUUUGUCUCUCUAUUUCCUAUUUAUGUUGCACAAAUAAUUGUUUCCUUUUGUUAUCCAAAUAAAUAAUUACUUCCUUCUCCACCCUUUUCUCCAGUUGUAGCGAGUGAGUUUUAGUAAGGGAUAAACAAUAGUAGGAAGAACUCUGUUGUGUUUCAAUCUCGAGUAUUUGAUGGAUGGGGCAUUGUUCUAUAGAUGGUGUAUACAGAAAUGAUCUUAACUGUCAUUUUGGUCAAAACCACAAUAGUUCUACUUAUGUUAGAAAAUCAAAAGAUUUAAGUGUCUUCCAUGGUUUAAAGUUCAUGAUGAGCAAAUUUGACUUAUUUUUAAUUGUUUAUCAUAUUUUGAGAAUAAUUUUGCUGCCUAUUCAACAGAUACCAUGGGGGGAGCAUUUGAUCCAGCUAGCUGGCAAACAAGAUUUGGUGGUAACUGUUUAUGAUGAAACAAAUAUUUCGAAUCAUUAAUUGCUAUGUUUGUGUCUGCAUCCUGUCAGCAAUUAGGAUGUGACAGGACAUGGCCUCCCUCCAAUGCAAAAAUCCCAAAAGCUCCUUGCAGACACACUUAUUUGCAUUCUUUGCGCUGACAUGCAGUUAGGAUGCGACAGGGCCUCCCUCCAAUGCAAAAUCACAUUAACCAUGUCACCGCUGUCAAUUGUUUUCUUGAGUUUGUUCCCAAAACCUCUUAAUUAUUAUUGCCCACGGAUAGUCAUGUUAUCUACAUAAUCCGUUUUGCCACUCUUCAGGGUUCUGCAUUGUGAAUAGAGGUUCAUCUUUGUGAUUAGAUUGCCACCGCCGCUGCUUUCUACUCAUUCGACGAAUGUUUUGCAAAGAAGAAAUCUGGUUUAUCUUACCCUCGAUUCCUUCCUAUGAUACAACUAACAAAAUGAAUUGGUACAUUCAGGUAUCUUUAAAACCUUUUCACUUCCAAAUUAGAAUGAUAUCAUGCUCAAGAGGUAACAUUUUCUGAUGUUUUUUAUUUUAAUAGUAAUUAUUGGUCGCUGACUUUUUAAAACUAUUUGUGUUGUACUUCAAGCAUCUUCUACACUGCAUCUAAGCUUUGAAGAGUUACGGACAAUUUUGUACUAAUUGUUUUCUUUAUUUUCCCAAAUGUGUGCCACUUCCUUUAGUAUUUUUGCAGUGCAGACGAUUGAAAACUACUGUUUUACAUCACCUCUCUGUCAUAGGAAUAGUUUACUACUCUAAUGCUCAUUCUAUUAACACUAAAAAAAGAUAUAUCGCUUGAAAACAGGUAUGUAUUUCAAUCUUCUAGAUUUAUAUUUCUUUCUUUAUAUAUACAAAACAGGUAAGUUUGUACCAUUUGUUUUAUUUUUUAAAAAAAGAAAAGGUAUGACACUUACAUUAGUAUUUUUUCCCACCAGAAACGAUUGAAAACUAUUGUUUCCCGUCACCUCCUGUCAUAGAUGGCUUGGACCCUCUUAUUAUCCUGGGAGCCUCGGUGGUUUGGAAGCAUAGAAACAGAGUGGUGUUCGGUAGAGUUUCUUCCAACCUCACUCUUAUUCUGGAGUCUGCUAAUGAGGAAAGCGAGAAAUGACAAGUUGCAGGAGCCAAGGGUUAUCCUUUCUGGCUGCUCCAAGCCAUAUAAUUUAGGGUGGUUGGAUCCUUCAUGGAUAUUUUAAUGUACUUCUGUUGUUGGCCUCCGUAAGAAGUGCAUGUAUCCCGGGCGUCUUUCAGCUCUUUGUAUUCUUCGUCUUUUAAUAUAGUGGGGCGCAGUUCUCCUGUGCUUUUCGAGAAAAAAAAAUAUGUGCAUCUAUUUAAGUCUCUUACCAAUAA